ACUCCUACGGGAGGCAGCAGUAAGGAAUAUUGGUCAAUGGGCGAAAGCCUGAACCAGCCAUCCCGCGUGCAGGAUGAAGGUCCUAUGGAUUGUAAACUGCUUUUAUCAGGGAAGAAACGCCUUCAUUCAUGGGGGUCUGACGGUACCUGAGGAAUAAGCACCGGCUAACUCCGUGCCAGCAGCCGCGGUAAUACGGAGGGUGCGAGCGUUAUCCGGAAUCACUGGGUUUAAAGGGUGCGUAGGCGGGGAAUUAAGUCAGUGGUGAAAGCCUGUCGCUUAACGAUAGAAUUGCCAUUGAUACUGAUUUUCUUGAAUUGGGUUGAGGUUAGCGGAAUGUGACAUGUAGCGGUGAAAUGCAUAGAUAUGUCAUGGAACACCAAUUGCGAAGGCAGCUAGCUGGGCCUUGAUUGACGCUGAGGCACGAAAGCGUGGGUAGCGAACAGGAUUAGAUACCCUGGUAGUCCACGCCCUAAACGAUGCUAACUCGAUGUGUGGAAGAAAUUUUGCGCAUCCAAGGGAAACCGAUAAGUUAGCCACCUGGGG
This 543-nucleotide ribosomal RNA is filed under the name uncultured bacterium. RNAcentral describes it as "bacterial SSU rRNA". It matches the Rfam family "Bacterial small subunit ribosomal RNA", at positions 335 to 878 of the family's 1533-position model. The record is from RNAcentral.